GAUGAACGCUGGCGGCGUGCCUAAUACAUGCAAGUCGAGCGAACGGACGAGAAGCUUGCUUCUCUGAUGUUAGCGGCGGACGGGUGAGUAACACGUGGAUAACCUACCUAUAAGACUGGGAUAACUUCGGGAAACCGGAGCUAAUACCGGAUAAUAUUUUGAACCGCAUGGUUCAAAAGUGAAAGACGGUCUUGCUGUCACUUAUAGAUGGAUCCGCGCUGCAUUAGCUAGUUGGUAAGGUAACGGCUUACCAAGGCAACGAUGCAUAGCCGACCUGAGAGGGUGAACGGCCACACUGGAACUGAGCCACGGCCCAGACACCGACGGGAGGCAGCAGUAGGGAAGUUUCCGAAAUGGGCGAAAGCCUGACGGAGCAACGCAGCGUGAGUGAUGAAGGGCUUCGGAUCGUAAAACUCUGUUAUUAGGGAAGAACAUAUGUGUAAGUAACUGUGCACAUCUUGACGGUACCGAAACAGAAAGCCACGGCUAACUACGU
Molecule: ribosomal RNA, 496 nt
Filed under: uncultured bacterium
Lineage: Bacteria
Description: partial 16S ribosomal RNA
Rfam family: Bacterial small subunit ribosomal RNA
Source: RNAcentral